CGACCUGUAGCUCAUCUGGUUAGAGCGCCGCCCUGAUAAGGCGGAAGUAGUUGGUUCAAAUCCAUCCAGGUCGACCA
This 77-nucleotide transfer RNA is filed under the name Mycobacteroides abscessus subsp. abscessus. Its description in RNAcentral is "tRNA-Ile(gat)". It matches the Rfam family "tRNA". From Rfam's summary of the family: Transfer RNA (tRNA) molecules are approximately 80 nucleotides in length. Their secondary structure includes four short double-helical elements and three loops (D, anti-codon, and T loops). Lineage: Bacteria; Bacillati; Actinomycetota; Actinomycetes; Mycobacteriales; Mycobacteriaceae. The record is from RNAcentral.